This is a non-coding RNA of Caenorhabditis elegans, 50 nucleotides long. The record is from Ensembl. NCBI's taxonomy places the organism in Eukaryota, Metazoa, Nematoda, Chromadorea, Rhabditida, Rhabditidae.
AUUUUCCGCCAAGUUACAGCUAUAUUAAGUUGGUGGCCUAGAAGCCCAAA